This 30-nucleotide non-coding RNA is filed under the name Cricetulus griseus (Chinese hamster). Lineage: Eukaryota; Metazoa; Chordata; Mammalia; Rodentia; Cricetidae. The record is from RNAcentral.
AUUGCUGGCACAGCAAGGGACUCCAGAGGU